UCUUCUAACACUUCUCCUAAUGCUGUGGAUUUAGAAGAGAUCUCAGAUAGCUUUCCUACAAAGGUAUCAAUCAUGUCUCCGUCUUUCAUCUUAAGCCUAUCAAACUCCGCCAUUAACGUUGCAAUCUCGCUUCUCUAACCCUCUCUGCUCCAAGAUUUCGUGCCUUUAUUGCAUCCCAUACGCCUUUUGCCGUGUCCAAGUCGCCAACUUGGAGAAUCAGUGCCUCAGGUAUAGAUUGAAACAAGAAUGCGAUCGCCAUGUUAUUCUUCUUCUCAUCUUUGACUCCAGGAUCAAUUGUUUCCCAAACCUCGCUAACCUUGAGUGCUAUCUUCAUCCUCAUACACCAGCCGGUAUAGUUUGAUGUAGUUAACAUCAGAAACUUUAUAGAGGUUUGCCCAGUCUCUUUGUUUGCCGUAGGUUCUUCUUUAACUUCUGCCAUUGUCGUAUGUGCCUUUUUUCGGACUUUCGAAUGAAUUCUUGUUUGGCUCUGAUACCAAAUAUAGAAUCACAAAGCUAUAUAGAAUCACAAAGCAAUAAUUAAUAAGAAGUCCUUCUCUUAUUCAAUCAAUCAAGCAAAGCUUAAACAACAACUCGAUCAAGCUCUC
Molecule: long non-coding RNA, 605 nt
Filed under: Brassica napus (rape)
Lineage: Eukaryota; Viridiplantae; Streptophyta; Magnoliopsida; Brassicales; Brassicaceae
Description: long non-coding RNA (BNAP_LNC015195)
Source: RNAcentral